Molecule: long non-coding RNA, 5512 nt
Organism: Gallus gallus (chicken)
Lineage: Eukaryota; Metazoa; Chordata; Aves; Galliformes; Phasianidae
Source: Ensembl
CGACGAUGGGCGGGGCGAGGGGUGGGGUCCGUGCCCCACGUGCUGGCGGGAAGGAGGGGUGGGGGAGCUCUUUGUUCUCGCGCUGCUCGCCUGAGCGGGCGGUUUUGUGCUCUCUUUGCCCGUCUGUCUAGCUGAGUGGGCAGCGGGGCUGGAGUUUGAGGUGCUCCGGCCGCCGCCUCACAGUGACUGGGGAGAGGAAGGAGGCGAGGGGCCCGACGGGAGCGGGGAGGAGCCUCGCGUCUCAGUGCUGCUGAGUUUGAAUCAGUUCGAAAGUGGGAGCUGUAACGGUUUUAACAGUCGUGCUGCUGCUUCCGCGCGCGGCAGAGAGGGGAGGGGACGGGACGAGACGGAGAACUGUGGGAGAGGCGCGACUGCGACCAGGCGGGAAGAGCCAGGCGGGGAUGGGGGGUGGUGCUGGCAGGAGCUGCUUACCUCAGCAGGGUCCGCUCCCUGCCUGUCGUUUCCGCGGUAGGCUCUCCUUCCCGGCCUCGCGCCGUGCCGAGUGUUGCCUGGCUGAGUCACUAACCAGAGUACGUGAUGCAUCCUCCUGCCAUGUCAUCCGACCUUUGUGCACCCAAACCUAGCACGCAUCUGCCUUUUUGUUUCAUGCAGUUCCUUACGAAUUUUGGUGCCUUGCUGUUCUGCACCCAGCAUGGAUUUUUCGCUGUCAAAAUCCCAUUGUGUCCCAUCUUGGCAAUGGUGGUAAAUUACAGCAACAGCAAGGUGCCCAUUCUGCAUACGGCUGGGAUCCUGUUGCUAGUGGUAUGCUGUCUCCAGCUUAAGGUUGCUACCAUUUUCCCGUUUCUAUUCUGCGACCCACGCUCAGUCACGUUGACAAGGAUGUACUUAAAAUCUCAAGGAUUCAUUCCUCUUUAGCCUUCUGUUGUCUCACUGUUUGGCUGCUGCAGCCCUUCUUUGUUGAUGAAAGACAAAAUUGCCAAGAUAAUUUUCCCACCAUGAUCUUUCAUCCACACUUGUAACCAUCUCUCCUUUCUGUGCCUCCUGUGUUAAGCACUACUUCUGAGGUAGAACAGAUUGUGAGCCUUGUCCUCUCACUGUCCCCAAUAUUUCUCAUUUGUGAGUAUUGCCUUCCUUUGUGAAUCACUUGUGACACCUUCAACUACCCUGUCUCAUCUUUGUGUGAAGCCCAAAAAUGAGCACUGUCCACCAUGACGGAGUUCUGAGUGAUAAAAAUCCUGUGACAGAAGAUCACUAACACAGCUUCAUUCCUAAAUCUUUCAGCUGUGUUAUAGGCCAAACGAAGCUCAGAGUUCUUUUAAUGCGGAACAGAAAUGUUUUCUUAUGUUUACAUGUCACAGAAUGAUAUAUUGUCAUACUCUUUCUCUGCUUUUACUAGAGUAGGUGUAUGGGAACUGUUGAAUCACGGCCUGAACCUCUGAUUGACCCCCUGAGGCGUGUGCUGAGUCAGCUGCAGGGGCACAGGUGAAAGCAAUUGGCUCCACCCCUCCUAGACCCCAUUUAAGGGCUGACUCAGAAGGAGGAAGGCUCUCUACCUGGAGAUUACUCCUCUUGGAGCCCUUCUGUGAGCCCAAGACAUGGGAGGGAAAAUAUCUGAUCCCUAAAUAUGCCUGGUGCACAGAUGAAUCCAGCAAGGGCAACGCAAGCAAGUGGAGAGCGAUAGCAUACCAUCCCUCCACCAAGACAAUCUGCUUUGAUGAGGGGGGAUGGUCAGAGCAGCCAAUGGGCAGAACUGUGAGCUGUGUGGAUGAUUAUGACCAAGGAACUCGGUGAUGGUAUCCUGAACAUCUGCACAGAUAGUUGGGCUGUGUACUGGGGACUCACUCUUUGGAUUGCACAGUGGGCCAUCCAGGAAUGGACUAUCAGCACCUUACAAAUCAGGUGCAAAGAUAUGUGGUUAGACAUAUGGAAUAAGUUAAACACAGGACUGUACGUGUCUACCAUGUUUCUGGUCACCAAUCCCUACAGUCACUGGGAAAUGAUGAAGCUGACACACUGGCCUGAGUUUGAUGGAUUGAGAAUUCACCAUCUGAGAACAUCGCCUGUGGUUACAUCAGAAGCUUUGGCAUGCUGGACAAAAGACAAUAUGGGCAGCUGCUAAAGCAUGGGGGCUGCCCAUACAACUAUUUUACAUUGCCCAGGUAUGCUGAGACUGUGAUGCUUGCUUCAAGAUAAGACUGAGAUCAUUGCCCAGAGCAACAGCCCAUCUUGCUAGAGCAUGCAACCCUCUCCAGAGAUGGCAGGUUGAUUACAUUGGGCCCCUCCCUUGGUCUGAGGGGGUGAGAUAUUCCCUGACCUGCAAAUGGGCUAAUUCAGGCCUAUCCAGUACCAAAAGCAAACCAGGCGUAUACCAUCAAGGCACUUACUAAACUGAUGUCUGCCUACAGGACACCUCAAGUCAUUGAGAGUGACCGAGGGACCCAUUUUACUGGUGCAGUGAUACAAUGCUGGGCAGAAGAAAACAUUGAAUGGUGAUUCCACCUGCCAUAUAAUCCAAUGGGGACAGGUCUCAUUGAACAUUAUAAUGGUAUUCUUAAGGCUGCUGUAAAGACAGACUCUCAGUCCCUGCGGAUAAAGAGUUUAUCCUGGUGGAUAAAGAGACUCUAUGAAACCCUGUGGGACUUGAAUGAAAGUCCUAGAGAUGGCAGACCCAGUGCUCAGAAAAUGCUACAGACAUGGGCCUCCCUGCUUAGGAUCCAUAUUACAGGCACUGAUAAUCAGGUAAGAGUGGCAAUGAAAAUUAUUUUCUGCUCCCUGCCCCUAGGAAUUUAGAUCUGGGUACCCAUAUACUAAAGUGGCCUUGGAAGGUGCAGGUAGGACCAAAGUGGUGCAGCCUACUCGUACUUUGGGGGAGAUUAUUGGAGGUGGGAGGCUUAGUAGUCUCUCUGGUAAUAGGUACAUGGCCUACGGAUAUUGUGGUCAACACUCCAAUCUUCAUUGCUGAAGGGACCCCCAUCAUGUCCCUGUGGCAGAUCAGCACUUCCCCUUUGGUGCCUGAUAUAGUUAUGCAGCCGCAGACAUCUGCCCCAGUACAAGCUGAAGUGUUGACCCAGGACAGGAAUACGGCCUGUAUCUUGCCCUGGAGGGCAGACCUUCCCCUCCUGGUACCCCUGAAACAUCUGUAUUACUCCCCGUGAGUCUUUGUGCCUCUAGGAUCACCGGAAGGAAUGAAAUGCCUUUGAAGCGUUCCAGUGUUGCUGUGGGAUCAUGUGUGACACCAGGUGAUGGUCUACAUGGGACUGAUGGAGCAUAGGAUGGACCUCCACCACACGACUACAUACCUCCAGUAACACCACCAAGCACUAGCCCAUAAAAGAGCAUGAACUUUCACCUUACACCAAUAAUCACUUGUCUUAAAUGUUGUCAAUAUGCAUCACAAUGAGAAAUUGUAUAAGCAUUGUGAUAUGUUGGAUUUCUGUAUUAUGGAGCACUUACCUUUAGUUAACUUGAUCGUUGGUUCACGCCAUGAAGUGGUGGAGUGUAUGGGAACUGUUGAAUCAUGGCCUGAACCACUGAUUGAUCACUUGAGGCAAGUACUGAGUCAGCUGCAGGAGCACAGGUGAAGGCAAUUCACAUGUGUGAUCGGAAGAGGUGGAGUCUGGCUCCACCUCUCCUAGACCCCAUUUAAGGGCUGACUGCCACUAAGGAAGGAUCUCUUUCUGGAGACUGCUCCCUUCGGAGUUUUUCUGCGAGCCUACGACAUGGGUGAGCAUUUCCAUUUAUUUUUGAUUAUCCCUUUCCACCAUGAUAAUCCUUCUAGUUACUACCUGUAAAAUACUAGCCUAACCACACCACUUUGCUGAUUGUAUAUUUGUUGAUUGUACAUUGAUAUAUUCAAGCCUUUGAUUUUAAUCAAAAUGGUUGAACUUAUUAGAACUGCCCUGAAAGCAUAUGCUUGCGAACUUAUAUUGCAGAGCCUAUUUUCAGCUGUAUUUGGCAGUGUGGUUGUAUGAUACUGUUGUAUGCCAAUCAUAGGCAAAGAUGUGCAUGAUAGGGAAUAUGAUAGAUCCAUUCAAUGCCAUGACCUUUAGCCCAAGUAUUUUCAAGAGAAUUUUUGAAAUGAGUCUUAUUAUCUGAUUCAAUUCUUUCUGGGGUGUCAUGUCACCACAGGACUUGUUUCUCAAGACCUAAUGUGGUGUUUUGGGCAGUAGCAUGGGGUACUGCAUAUGUUUCAAGCCAUCCAGUAGUUGCCUCCAUCUCAGUAAGCACAUAACACCAUUCUGAGAUCAUGGCAAGGUGAUAUAAUCAACCUGCCAUGCCUCCCCGUAUUAAUAAUUUUGCCAUCACCCUUCCCCCCAGAGAGGUUUCAUCCCCUUGGCUUGUUUAAUUAUGGCACGUGUUUCACAGUUGUGAAUAACCACUGCAAUAGCAUCCAGAGUUAAGUCCACCGCUCGGUCUCUAGCCCACUUAUAUGUUCCAUCUCUUCCUUGAUGGCCCAAGGUCUUAUGGGCCCACCGAGCUAGAAAUAAUUCACUCUUAUUUUGCCAUUCCAAGUCUAUUUGAGCCACCUCAAUUUUGGCAGCUCUGUCUAUCUGGUGGUUGUUUUAUUGUUCUUCAGUAGUCCAACUCUUGGGCACAUGGCCAUCUACAUGGUGCACCUUUAUGACCAUCUUCUUUAUUCAGGCAGCAGUGUCUUUCCACAGUCCAACAGCCCAAAUUGGUUUACCCCUUCGUUGCCAAUUGUUUUGCUUCCUCUGCUGUAAUCACCACCAUAAGGCAUUUGCCACCAUCCAUGAGUCAGUAUAAAGAUAAAGCAUUGGCCACCUCUCCCAUUCAGCAACAUCUAAGACCAGUUGGACAGCCUUUACCUCUGCAAAUUGGCUUGAUUCUCCUUUUCCUUCAGUGGCCUCUGCAACUUGUAGUGUGGAGCUUCACACAGCAGCUAUCCGUCUGCGCUGCUUCCCCACCAUUUGACAUGACACGUCUGUGAACAAGGCAUAUUUAUUUUCGUUUUCUGGUAGUUCAUUGUAUGGUGGGGCUUCUUUAGCUUGUGAUACCUCUUCUCUUGGUGAUUUUCCAAACUUUUUACCUUCAGGCCAGUCUGUGAUCACCUCUGAGAUUCCUGGAUGACUGAGGUUCCUCAUCUGAGCGAACUGUGUAAUCAGCACAAUACACUUGCUCCAAGUGGCAUCAGUAGCGUGAUGGGUGGAGGGAACCUUUCCUUUAAACAUCUAGUUCAGCACUGGCAGUCAAGGUGCCAGAAUGAACUACGUUUCAGUACCGACUACUUAGGAAGCAGCCCAAACCCCCUCAUACGCAGCUAAGAUCUCCUUUUCACUUGGGUUGUAGCAAUCUUCAGAACCCCUGUAUGCUCAAUUACAGAAUCCCAGGGGUCGGCCUCAUAUCUCUCCUGAGGCUCUUUGCCACAAACUCCAGGUGGGACCUUUCUCUCCAACAGCAGUGUAGAGGAUGUUGUUUACAUCCUGUCCCAUCUGUACUGGCCCCAGGGCCACGGCACAGGCUAUUUCCUGUUUAAUCUGCUUGAAAUCUUGCUGCUGCUCAGGACCACACAUAAAAUCAUUCUUCUUCCAUG